Molecule: small RNA, 2565 nt
Filed under: Pan troglodytes (chimpanzee)
Lineage: Eukaryota; Metazoa; Chordata; Mammalia; Primates; Hominidae
Description: retained intron
Source: RNAcentral
UGAUACUUGUUUAAAAUUUGUUAAAAUACAAUACCGCCAUUUAUUAUACUUGAUAUUUGGUAUUCAUUUUCUGGACUAACUUUCCUAAAGGAGGAAGUUCUCUAAUGUGAUUCCUCCUGCUGAAGACUAUCGAUUCCCUAUUAAUCCAGAUUCCGUUUGAUGUUGUAAGUGAAAAGUCCAUAAACUGUUUCUGUAAAGGGCCAGACGGUAAAUAUUUUUGGCUUUGUGGGCCAUGUGCAGUCUCUGUCACAUUCUUUCCCAGGCUGGAGGGACAGUGGCGCAGUCUUAGCUCACUUCAACGUCUGCCUCCUGGGUUCAAGCCAUUCUCCUGUCUCAACCUCCUGAGUAGCUGGGAUUACAGGCACGCCCCACUACUCUUGGCUAAUUUUUGUGUUUUUAGUAGAAGCAGGGUUUUACCAUGUUGGCUAGGCUGGUCUCAAACUCCUGACCUCAGGUUAUCCGCCUGCCUCAACCUCCCAAAGUGCUAGGAUUACAGGCAUGAGCCACAACACUGGCGUUUUAAGUGCCUUUAGUUUUAACAGUUCAGUCUUUACAGUGCUAUUUACUGAAGUUAUUUAUUAAAUAUGCCUAAAAUAGUUUUAAAAAACGUAAAAAACCAUUCCUAGCUCAAGGCCAUACAGAAACAGAAUGAGGACCAUAGCUUGCCAACCCUUCCUAAGUAAUCAAUUCCCCAGGUGUAUCAAUUAUUUUAUUUUCAUGUUAUCUUCUCUGGUCAGAUAGCCGAGCAUUGUCUACCUUCUGCAUUAGUUGAAACUUGUAAAAUUUAUAUUGUAAUAAUUACUUAUAAAAUGCUUUAAAGCAGAAACAACUUAAUGUUUUCAUAGCCCAGAGCACAUGUGAGGAGAGGCAGACCAUAUUUUGCAGCAGCACUGUGCCAAGGGGCUGUUUUCAUUAAAGAGGGUUAAUGACAUUAAGAUGAGGUUCUCACUUAGGCUAGUGAUACAGAACGAGAUGGACUAGCCCCAGAAAAGACAUCACCAGAUAGAGAUAAGAAAAAAGAGCAGUCAGAUGUAUCUGUUUCUCCUAGAGCUUCAAAACAUCAUUAUUCAAGAUCACGAUCAAGGUCAAGAGAAAGAAAACGAAAGUCAGAUAAUGAAGGAAGAAAACACAGGAGCCGGAGCAGAAGCAAAGAGGUAAUUAACACUUUGUAGUGAAUAGGUACUUUAAAAUACUUAGAAAGUGUCUGGUAGAAAGAUUUGUAUGAAUAUAAGACAUUGUCAAGGCAAGAAGACAUGAAUCCAAAGAUAAAUCCUCUAAGAAACAUAAGUCUGAGGAACAUAAUGACAAAGAACAUUCUUCUGAUAAAGGAAGAGAGCGACUAAAUUCAUCUGAAAAUGGUGAGGACAGGCACAAACGCAAAGAAAGAAAGUCAUCAAGAGGCAGAAGUCACUCAAGAUCUAGGUCUCGUGAAAGACGCCAUCGUAGUAGAAGCAGGGAGCGGAAGAAGUCUCGAUCCAGGAGUAGGGAGCGGAAGAAAUCGAGAUCCAGAAGCAGAGAGAGGAAGAAAUCGAGAUCCAGAAGCAGGGAAAGAAAACGGCGGAUCAGGUCUCGUUCCCGCUCAAGAUCAAGACACAGGCAUAGGACUAGAAGCAGGAGUAGGACAAGGAGUAGGAGUCGAGAUAGAAAGAAGAGAAUUGAAAAGCCGAGAAGAUUUAGCAGAAGUUUAAGCCGGACUCCAAGUCCACCUCCCUUCAGAGGCAGAAACACAGCAAUGGAUGCACAGGAAGCUUUAGCUAGAAGGUUGGAAAGGGCAAAGAAAUUACAAGAACAGCGAGAAAAGGAAAUGGUUGAAAAACAAAAACAACAAGAAAUAGCUGCAGCAGCUGCAGCUACUGGAGGUUCUGUUCUCAAUGUUGCUGCCCUGUUGGCAUCAGGAACACAAGUAACACCUCAGAUAGCCAUGGCAGCUCAGAUGGCAGCCCUGCAAGCUAAAGCUUUGGCAGAGACAGGAAUAGCUGUUCCUAGCUACUAUAACCCAGCCGCUGUUAAUCCAAUGAAAUUUGCUGAACAAGAGAAAAAAAGGAAAAUGCUUUGGCAGGGCAAGAAAGAAGGGGACAAAUCCCAAUCUGCUGAAAUAUGGGAAAAAUUGAAUUUUGGAAACAAGGACCAAAAUGUCAAAUUUAGGAAAUUGAUGGGUAUUAAGAGUGAAGAUGAAGCUGGAUGUAGCUCAGUUGAUGAAGAAAGUUACAAGACUCUGAAGCAGCAGGAAGAAGUAUUUCGAAAUUUAGAUGCUCAGUAUGAAAUGGCAAGAUCACAAACCCACACACAAAGAGGAAUGGGUUUGGGUUUCACAUCUUCAAUGCGAGGAAUGGAUGCAGUUUGAAAAUGAUCACACUUGUAAAGUUUGGGACUUAUAGACUUCUUGUUCUGAUGUCACGUCCUUGUUCACCAAACAGCUAGCACUCUAGCUUGCAUGGGUGUUGCAUUGACUUUAAUUUAUUGAAAAAUACAAAUUUUUGUAAAUAUCAGAUCAGUGAUACUGGUGUUAGUGUUGUAAUCAGGUUAAACCCACUUCCAUUAAACUUGACAGGACUAUAGAAGGAC